Molecule: ribosomal RNA, 501 nt
Filed under: uncultured bacterium
Lineage: Bacteria
Description: bacterial SSU rRNA
Rfam family: Bacterial small subunit ribosomal RNA
Source: RNAcentral
AUUGAACGCUGGCGGAAUGCUUUACACAUGCAAGUCGAACGGUAGAGGGGGCAACCCCUUGAGAGUGGCGAACGGGUGAGUAAUAUAUCGGAGCGUGCCCAGUCGUGGGGAUAACGUAGCGAAAGUUACGCUAAUACCGCAUACGAUCUAAGGAUGAAAGCGGGGGACUCGCAAGAGCCUCGCGCGAUUGGAGCGGCCGAUAUCAGAUUAGGUAGUUGGUGGGGUAAAGGCUCACCAAGCCAACGAUCUGUAGCUGGUCUGAGAGGACGACCAGCCACACUGGAACUGAGACACGGUCCAGACUCCUACGGGAGGCAGCAGUGGGGAAUUUUGGACAAUGGACGCAAGUCUGAUCCAGCCAUUCCGCGUGCAGGAUGAAGGCCCUCGGGUUGUAAACUGCUUUUGUACGGAACGAAAAGGUUUCUAUUAAUACUAGGAGCUCAUGACGGUACCGUAAGAAUAAGCACCGGCUAACUACGUGCCAGCAGCCGCGGUAAAGUG